Molecule: small RNA, 105 nt
Filed under: Mesoflavibacter zeaxanthinifaciens subsp. sabulilitoris
Lineage: Bacteria; Pseudomonadati; Bacteroidota; Flavobacteriia; Flavobacteriales; Flavobacteriaceae
Description: Flavo-1 RNA
Rfam family: Flavo-1 RNA
Source: RNAcentral
AUUGCGUUAGCGAUAGUAGUGGCAUCCUUUUUUUGCUAACUGUACUUUGAUUUUUAGUCUAUAGGUAGUUGCAAAAAAAAGAUAUAACGGAUAGCGCGACCCUUG